RNAcentral lists this ribosomal RNA (528 nucleotides) under uncultured bacterium. RNAcentral describes it as "partial 16S ribosomal RNA". It matches the Rfam family "Bacterial small subunit ribosomal RNA", at positions 355 to 874 of the family's 1533-position model. The record is from RNAcentral.
UGGGGAAUUUUGGACAAUGGGGGAAACCCUGAUCCAGCCAUCCCGCGUGUGCGAUGAAGGCCUUCGGGUUGUAAAGCACUUUUGGCAGGAAAGAAACGUCGCGGGUUAAUACCCCGCGAAACUGACGGUACCUGCAGAAUAAGCACCGGCUAACUACGUGCCAGCAGCCGCGGUAAUACGUAGGGUGCAAGCGUUAAUCGGAAUUACUGGGCGUAAAGCGUGCGCAGGCGGUUCGGAAAGAAAGAUGUGAAAUCCCAGAGCUUAACUUUGGGAACUGCAUUUUUAACUACCGGGCUAGAGUGUGUCAGAGGGAGGUGGAAUUCCGCGUGUAGCAGUGAAAUGCGUAGAUAUGCAGAGGAACACCGAUGGCGAAGGCAGCCUCCUGGGAUAACACUGACGCUCAUGCACGAAAGCGUGGGGAGCAAACAGGAUUAGAUACCCUGGUAGUCCACGCCCUAAACGAUGUCAACUAGCUGUUGGGGACCUUCGGGCCUUGGUAGCGCAGCUAACGCGUGAAGUUGACCGCCU